UGGCCAGAGAUGAGAAUGUCCUUGACAA
This 28-nucleotide non-coding RNA is filed under the name Mus musculus (house mouse). Lineage: Eukaryota; Metazoa; Chordata; Mammalia; Rodentia; Muridae. The record is from RNAcentral.